RNAcentral lists this long non-coding RNA (388 nucleotides) under Struthio camelus australis. RNAcentral's name for it is "lncRNA (ENSSCUG00000011641.1)". The record is from RNAcentral. Lineage: Eukaryota; Metazoa; Chordata; Aves; Struthioniformes; Struthionidae.
CACAAGGCCAAGGGCUCUACCACUAUUCGAUUUCCACUUCAGCUGCUGGGCACCUGUGCGAUCGGGGAGGAGCCAAACACCAAGCAGCAGCAUAUCAAAGGGACCAUUACCUCCAUCCGUGGAGCUUUAAUCUUCAAAUUCAUCUUCUCCUAUGGAGCUAGCGCCUGCCUGAGCCUGAUCCAAGACCUGCGCUCAUCAGACACACUGCGAGAGGCUGUGAACCUGCAGCAAUAUCCGACUGCCUCCAUCUUCAGCUAUGCCCACCCGUCUGCACCCCGUGCUCAGCGUAUGCUCCCAAUCCUUGGUGCUUUUCUGAGGUGAAAGCCAGAUGCCCAAAAUGUUGAUGCUCAACUCUUUUGGAAGAGGUUGGCAAAGGAGAUGAGCAAAG